RNAcentral lists this ribosomal RNA (506 nucleotides) under uncultured bacterium. Its description in RNAcentral is "partial 16S ribosomal RNA". It matches the Rfam family "Bacterial small subunit ribosomal RNA", at positions 29 to 523 of the family's 1533-position model. The record is from RNAcentral.
AGUGAACGCUGGCGGUAGGCCUAACACAUGCAAGUCGAACGGCAGCACAGGAGAGCUUGCUCUCUGGGUGGCGAGUGGCGGACGGGUGAGGAAUACAUCGGAAUCUACUCUGUCGUGGGGGAUAACGUAGGGAAACUUACGCUAAUACCGCAUACGACCUACGGGUGAAAGCAGGGGAUCUUCGGACCUUGCGCGAUUGAAUGAGCCGAUGUCGGAUUAGCUAGUUGGCGGGGUAAAGGCCCACCAAGGCGACGAUCCGUAGCUGGUCUGAGAGGAUGAUCAGCCACACUGGAACGGAGACACGGUCCAGACUCCUACGGGAGGCAGCAGUGGGGAAUAUUGGACAAUGGGCGCAAGCCAGAUCCAGCCAUACCGCGUGGGUGAAGAAGGCCUUCGGGUUGUAAAGCCCUUUUGUUGGGAAAGAAAUCCAGCUGGCUAAUACCCGGUUGGGAUGACGGUACCCAAGGAAUAAGCACCGGCUAACUUCGUGCCAGCAGCCGCAGUAA